GUCCGGCCCUAAACUUUUAAUUACACCCUAUCGCCAAGGAACUACGAGCAAUGCUUAAAACCUAAGGGACUUGACGGUACCCCAUAUCCCCCUAGAGGAGCCUGUCCUACAAUUGACUUUCCCCGCUUGACCUCACCACUUCUAGCUCAUCAGCUUGUAUACUUCCGUCCAGCCUACCGUGUGAACGACUAGUGAGCCCAAACGUCUUCGAACCAACACAUCAGGUCAAGGUGCAGCAAAUGAAGUGGAAAGUGAUGGGCUACAUUUUCUAACCUAGAAAACACAGAUAGUCACAUGCAACCUGACUGGAAGGUGGAUUUAGCAGUAAAAAGAAAAUAGAGCGUUCUUUUUAACACGGCACUGAGGUGCGCACACACCGCCCGUCACCCCCCUCAAAUACAACAGCAGUAAUUUACAAGCAAGAUAACAAAGAGGKGGCAAGUCGUAACAUGGUAAGCGCACCGGAAGGUGUGCUUGGAAAC
RNAcentral lists this ribosomal RNA (482 nucleotides) under Ischnocnema holti (Holt's robber frog). Its description in RNAcentral is "partial small subunit ribosomal RNA". The record is from RNAcentral. Lineage: Eukaryota; Metazoa; Chordata; Amphibia; Anura; Brachycephalidae.